GAUGAACGCUGGCGGCGUGCCUAAUACAUGCAAGUCGAGCGAACAGACGGGAACCUUGCUUCCCUGAUGUUUGCGGCGCGCGUGUGUGUAACACGUGGAUACUCUCCCUAUACGACUGGGAUCACUUCGAGAAACCAGAUCUAAUCCCAUAUCAUCUGUUGUACCACAUUGAUCAAUAGUAAAAGACGGCUUCUCUGUUACUUAAUGAUGCUUCCUCGCGUCAUUAGCUAGUUGGUAAGGUAACGGCUUACGAAGGCAAUGAAUCGUAGCCGACCUGAGAGGGUGAUCGGCAACACUGGAACGGAGAAACGGUCCAGACUCCUACGGGAGGCAGCAGUAGGGAAUCUUGGGCAAUGGGCGAAAGCCUGACGGAGCAAGGCCGCGUGAGUGAUGAAGGUCUUCGGAUGGUAAAACUCUGUGAUUAGGGAAGAAGAGAGGUGGAAGUAAAUGUGCACAUCUUGACGGUACCUAAUCAGAAAGACACGGCUAACUACGUG
RNAcentral lists this ribosomal RNA (497 nucleotides) under uncultured bacterium. RNAcentral's name for it is "partial 16S ribosomal RNA". It matches the Rfam family "Bacterial small subunit ribosomal RNA", at positions 28 to 507 of the family's 1533-position model. The record is from RNAcentral.